Pseudopipra pipra is the source of this 2953-nucleotide long non-coding RNA. RefSeq lists it as uncharacterized. The transcript has 3 exons. The record is from RefSeq and is a predicted model, not a curated record. NCBI's taxonomy places the organism in Eukaryota, Metazoa, Chordata, Aves, Passeriformes, Pipridae.
GACAGUGCUGUUGGUGCCCCCCGGGUUGGGGCACCCCGAGGACUCCAGCGCGCACCGAAAGGAUUAUUCGGGGAGAUCCUCGGGGUGCCCGGCCCUGGGGAGCUCAAAGCAAGGUCCCUGCCAUGGAUUCAGGCAUUGCUGAGAGUAUCCCAGGUGUAGCUGUCCAUGCUAGACAGGGAGCUCUCUAAUGGGCUGUAAUUGGGUGAUAAAAGUGGUGCUCCAAGUGCCAAAGCAGUGUGGGAUUGGGAUUAAGAAACGAGCAGUGAUGGUACAAUUGGCUGUUUUCUCUUGAAUGUAAUGGUAAGAGCUGCAGGAGUGCAAGGUGUGUGUUCCAGUCCCCAGCAUUUGGUUUGCACGUGUCCUGGUCAGACACAGGUCCAACUUCCUCAGUCCUUAACACAAGAGAAGGAGAAUUAAGGACUGGCAGUGAUAAGGUGAUUGGUGUGACAGGGGUUAAAUUGGGAAAACAUUGCGUAAUUCCUCAGUUUCCCUAUUUGCCAAACUCAGCCAAACCUGUGCUAGCAAGAGAUUGAGUGGAAAAGUUGAGGCAGAAAUGAAAUUGAAAACUGGGGAUAUUGAAACUGUAAUUGCUGGAACUAAAUGUGUCAGAGCAGCAGCUCUUGUUGUACCGGGAAUAACUCCUGUCAGCAGCAAGGUCCCGACUGAAGUGGCAGCUGCAGUUGUUCCUGUGGUGUGGGCCAGUGGAACUGCAGGAGAGUGGAAGAGGGCAGAACCUGUAGGUAUUACCCCUAAUGUGGGAUCUAUAUGGGUAAGGCAAAGCCAGUAUCCUUUAAAAUCAGAAUGCCAGCUUGGAUUGGUUGCAGUAACAGCUAAAUUGGCUCAUCCUGGUUUGCUUGUAGGAUGUGAAUGCAAGAACCUGCCAAGGAACCAAUGGCCAAGAUGAUUGAUGAGUGCAGGACCUGAGAGAACCACCUUGAAUGACAAUCUCAAGGAGUUUGCAGUAUUGGAUUUAAAAGAUGGCCUUUGCUGCAUCUCCUUGAGCAAGGAAAGCCAAGAAACCUUUGCCUUUGAAGGAGAAAAUCUGGAAAGGGGAAAGGAAGAAGAGAAGCCACUUGACUCCUGAGCCCCAGACAGCCCAUGAACUGCCUUUCUGGGAAUGGUAGGACGGGGUGGACUCUGGAUUGCUCCCUCUGGAUGUGUGGCUCUCCCCUCAGGAACUGCAGGAACUCCUGGUGCCGCCUGGGCCGAUGGAUUGGACGCCCCAGCCCCUCCGUUCCUGCCCAGCCACUGGGGCCGUGUCGAGUGGUGGCACUGCCAGCCCUGCAGGGGAAGUGGGAAGGGCCUUUGCAGGUCCUGUGGGUCACAUCUAUAGCAGCUAAAGUUGCAGAAAAAGGACCUGGGGUCUGUUAUUCCUGAGUUAAGAAAGCUCCUUUUGAUUGGUGAGCAGAACAAAGUGGAUCCUUCAGAGUUCCCAUCCGUGUUUGUGUCUCAGCCUGUGUUAUGAUUCAGGGCUGUAGCUGUUGUUGUCACUGAGGAGUCAAACUCUGCUUUAAAUAAUGAGACCCUGGCCUAAUGGCCAAGUGUGAAGAAUAAAGAGGGAAUGAUAUCUGAGUGUUGAGAUGUAACAAGAGCUAAUCCUUUUUGCAGUAGGAUGUAGCCUGGAAACUGCACAGAGCUGAGCCAAGGGAUUUAAAGGGACUAACCAAGGGAGGUGAAGAAAGAAGGAAGAAGGGAAGUGAGGCAGCAGCCAAGCAGCACCAAGUGCCUGUGUAAGCAGGAACUCAGUGGCGUUGUGGUCCCCAGGAAGUGUUGCCCAGGACUAGGCAAGUGACUUCAGGCUUUGUCACCCCCAGAGCAAGGUGGAAGCCCAGCAGUUUACUGGUUUGUUUGGCUUUUGGUGACCAGAAGGUCCUCCUUUGGGACCAAUCCUUGGCCCGUGCCAUAAAGUCCCAGGGCAGAAGUGUGAGUUUGAGUGGGAAAUGAGCAGCCAGGAGGGUUUGAAACAGCUCAGGGAGCAAUUCAACAGGCUCCGGACCUGUGGCCAAUACGAGCCAGAGAGGGGCAACUAAAGGUUCCUGCCAGUGCUAAUGAUGCCACUUGGAGCCUCUGGCAGAAGUAGGGUAAUGUAAGGGGGGAACUUUUGAAUGAGAUGAUCAAUGGAGCAUAGAGGCGUGAGAAAGAAAUCCUAUUAGGAUGUGAAACCGGCUCGAGUAUGGUACAAUGGAACUUGAUGGCACAAGCUAAUUGUAAGGUCCAUUGUGCUUUUCAGCAAGUCAGCCUGAUAUCCCCUGUUAUGAGAGCUGAGUUCCUCCUUGGUUCUGCUACAGCUUGCCAGAUAGAUACCUCUCCCCUUGAAACACAAGGGUAGAGGUCAUCCAUAGAGGUGAGAAAGAUGAUGGUGAGAGGAAGAUGAUGUGGGCAGGGGUCGCUGGCCCCUUGCCCUACAAGUAGGGCAGGCCCAGACUGUUGCCACCAGGCAAUGAUCAGGCGGGGUUUGGCUGCCAUUCAGGCCUCCCCUUACACUGCGUCCUGGCCCUACGUGGUGUAAUGUGGAGCUGAUCAAAUGGGCUGUGAGGACUGCUGAGCUGAGCGAUCCUCAUCCUGCCCCCGAGCCUGUGUUGCUCCGCGGGGACGCCCGCUAAGGGAUGGGCACCGACCAGCUGCUGCAGAUCCUGACAGCCCUGCCUGGCUGUGGGGGUGGGCACAGUUUAGUGAUGGGAAGCCACCGAGAAGGAAGACUUUAAAUAUCCUUUAGUGUUCCUUUAAUACCCUUUAUUUAGUAUUCAUAAUAUUUUCCCUUUAAUGUCCCCUUUUACUAACCAAAUAUCAUGUCAAUAGUUACCCAUAAUAUUGUGUUAAGAUCCUUUUUGGUAUCCCUUUGACUCCCUUUUUACUAGUUAAUAUUAUACUGUAUUGAAUGCUGUUCUUAGUAUUUGUUUUAAUGCCACAUGAUAAGGUCGUUCAUUUGUAUCCUUUUUAACUUUUUGAUUCU